RNAcentral lists this ribosomal RNA (446 nucleotides) under uncultured bacterium. RNAcentral describes it as "partial 16S ribosomal RNA". It matches the Rfam family "Bacterial small subunit ribosomal RNA", at positions 338 to 795 of the family's 1533-position model. The record is from RNAcentral.
CCUACGGGUGGCAGCAGUCGAGAAUCAUUCACAAUGGGGGAAACCCUGAUGGUGCGACGCCGCGUGGGGGAAUGAAGGUCUUCGGAUUGUAAACCCCUGUCAUGUGGGAGCAAAUUAAAAAGAUAGUACCACAAGAGGAAGAGACGGCUAACUAUGUGCCAGCAGCCCCGGUCAUACAGAGGUCUCAAGCGAGGUUCGGAAUCACUGGGCGUAAAGCGUGCGUAGGCUGUUUCGUAAGUCGUGUGUGAACGGAGCGGGCUCAACCCGCGGACGGCACAUGAUACUGCGAGACUAGAGUAAUGGAGGGGGAAGCGGAAUUCUCGGUGUAGCAGUGAAAUGCGUAGAUAUCGAGAGGAACACUCGUGGCGAAGGCAGCAUACCGGCGCCCGACUGACGCUGAGGCACGAAAGCGUGGGUAUCGAACAGGAUUAGAUACCCCAGUAGUC